RNAcentral lists this ribosomal RNA (196 nucleotides) under uncultured bacterium. RNAcentral describes it as "partial 16S ribosomal RNA". It matches the Rfam family "Bacterial small subunit ribosomal RNA", at positions 338 to 524 of the family's 1533-position model. The record is from RNAcentral.
CCUACGGGAGGCAGCAGUGGGGAAUAUUGGACAAUGGGGGGAACCCUGAUCCAGCCAUGCCGCGUGUGUGAAGAAGGCCUUAUGGUUGUAAAGCACUUUAAGCGAGGAGGAGGCUACUGAGACUAAUACUCUUGGAUAGUGGACGUUACUCGCAGAAUAAGCACCGGCUAAGCUCUGUGCCAGCAGCCGCGGUAAU